Molecule: signal recognition particle RNA, 69 nt
Filed under: Verrucomicrobiales bacterium
Lineage: Bacteria; Pseudomonadati; Verrucomicrobiota; Verrucomicrobiia; Verrucomicrobiales
Description: partial signal recognition particle sRNA small type
Rfam family: Bacterial small signal recognition particle RNA
About the family: The signal recognition particle (SRP) is a universally conserved ribonucleoprotein involved in the co-translational targeting of proteins to membranes. Archaeal SRP consists of a 7S RNA and homologues of the eukaryotic SRP19 and SRP54 proteins. In most bacteria, the SRP consists of a 4.5S RNA and the Ffh protein (a homologue of the eukaryotic SRP54 protein).
Source: RNAcentral
CGUCAGGGCCCAUGGAUUGUGGACUUACGAACCCCGCCAGGGCAGGAAUGCAGCAACGGUAGUUUGCUC